CCUACGGGAGGCAGCAGUGGGGAAUAUUGGUCAAUGGGCGGAAGCCUGAACCAGCCAAGUAGCGUGCGGGAUGAAGGCCCUACGGGUCGUAACCCGCUUUUGCACGGGGAUAACACCCUCCACUUGUGGACGUCUCCCGGUCCCCUGCGACUAAGGGACGGCAAAUUCCGUGCCAGCAGCCGGGGUAAUACGGAAGGCCCGGGCGUUAACCGGAUUAAUUGGGCUUAAGGGGUGAGUAGUGGGGCGUUCAAGUCAGCGGUAAAAUCGCGCGGCUCAACCGCGCCCCGCAGUUGAAACUGGAAGCCUUGAGUUCACAACAGGCAGGCGGAAUUCGUGGUGUAGCGGUGAAAUGCAUAGAUAUCACGAGGAACCCCGAUUGCGAAGGCAGCCUGCCGGGGUGCGACUGACGCUGAGGCUCGAAGGCGCGGGUAUCAAACAGGAUUAGAUACCCGAGUAGUC
This 459-nucleotide ribosomal RNA is filed under the name uncultured bacterium. Its description in RNAcentral is "partial 16S ribosomal RNA". It matches the Rfam family "Bacterial small subunit ribosomal RNA", at positions 338 to 795 of the family's 1533-position model. The record is from RNAcentral.